This 68-nucleotide transfer RNA is filed under the name Spiniphilus spinicornis. RNAcentral describes it as "tRNA-Ser". The record is from RNAcentral. Lineage: Eukaryota; Metazoa; Arthropoda; Insecta; Coleoptera; Vesperidae.
AGUUAAUGAGCUUGUAAAGCAUAUACCUUGAAAGUAUAAUAAAGAAAUAAUAAAUUUUCUAUUAACUU